GUGUCAGCCGCCGCGGUAAAACGUAGGGGGCGAGCGUUAUCCGGAUUUAUUGGGCGUAAAGCGCACGUAGGUGGCGCUGUAAGUUGGACGUGAAAGCUCCUGGCUCAACUGGGAGAGGUCGUUCAAGACUGCAGUGCUUGAGGUUGGAAGAGGAGAGUGGAAUUCCCGGUGUAGUGGUGGAAUGCGUAGAUAUCGGGAGGAACACCAGUGGCGAAAGCGACUCUCUGGUCCACACCUGACACUGAGGUGCGAAAGCGUGGGGAGCAAACGGGAUUAGAUACCCGAGUAGUCC
RNAcentral lists this ribosomal RNA (292 nucleotides) under uncultured bacterium. RNAcentral's name for it is "partial 16S ribosomal RNA". It matches the Rfam family "Bacterial small subunit ribosomal RNA", at positions 505 to 796 of the family's 1533-position model. The record is from RNAcentral.